UACAGAGGGUGCAAGCGUUGUUCGGAAUUACUGGGCGUAAAGCGCGUGUAGGUGGCGAUGUAAGUCGGGUGUGAAAUCCCUCAGCUUAACUGAGGAAGUGCACUCGAUACUGUGUCGCUUGAGUGUUGGAGGGGAUGGCGGAAUUCCCGGUGUAGAGGUGAAAUUCGUAGAUAUCAGGAAGAACACCCGUGGCGAAGGCGGCUCUCUGGGACGGUACUGACGCUGAGACGCGAAAGCGUGGGGAGCGAACAGG
Molecule: ribosomal RNA, 253 nt
Filed under: uncultured bacterium
Lineage: Bacteria
Description: partial 16S ribosomal RNA
Rfam family: Bacterial small subunit ribosomal RNA
Source: RNAcentral